UGUGCACCAUAAACACUUUAGAAAAGGAAAGUACAGGAGUUAACAAAAAUGAAAAAGCAAGAGGCAGCAGAAAGAAGAAUCAUGAUGGGAUUAGGUAAAAUCUCAAGUACUUCUGAAUCAGGAAACAAGAAUGCUUAAUGCUUGUAAUGUGUGAAGAAGCCAAGUUUUGAAGUUGAUUGGCUUCAAAUAUAAUCAGUCAUCUUUGUUAGCUUUGCUAAUAAUAAAAGGAAAAACAAUAAGAGCAAGAUGAGUGAAAG
RNAcentral lists this unclassified non-coding RNA (257 nucleotides) under Hevea brasiliensis (rubber tree). The record is from RNAcentral. Lineage: Eukaryota; Viridiplantae; Streptophyta; Magnoliopsida; Malpighiales; Euphorbiaceae.